RNAcentral lists this ribosomal RNA (390 nucleotides) under uncultured cyanobacterium. Its description in RNAcentral is "bacterial SSU rRNA". It matches the Rfam family "Bacterial small subunit ribosomal RNA", at positions 390 to 795 of the family's 1533-position model. Lineage: Bacteria; Bacillati; Cyanobacteriota. The record is from RNAcentral.
GGACAAUCCGCGUGAGGGAGCAAGGCUUUUGGGUUGUAAACCUCUUUUCUCAAGGAAGAAGUACUGACGGUACUUGAGGAAUCAGCAUCGGCUAACUCCGUGCCAGCAGCCGCGGUAAUACGGAGGAUGCAAGCGUUAUCCGGAAUUAUUGGGCGUAAAGCGUCCGCAGGUGGUGCAUCAAGUCUGCUGUCAAAGACCAGGGCUUAACCCCGGGAAGGCAGUGGAAACUGGUGGACUAGAGUACGGUAGGGGUAGAGGGAAUUCCCAGUGUAGCGGUGAAAUGCGUAGAGAUUGGGAAGAACACCAGUGGCGAAGGCGCUCUACUGGACCUGUGCUGACACUCAGGGACGAAAGCUAGGGGAGCGAAAGGGAUUAGAUACCCCUGUAGUC